UACCUAUAACUGUUGCUUCGGCGGGUAGGGUCUCCGCGACCCUCCCGGCCUCCCGCCUCCGGGCGGGUCGGCGCCCGCCGGAGGAUAACCAAACUCUGAUUUAACGACGUUUCUUCUGAGUGGUACAAGCAAAUAAUCAAAACUUUUAACAACGGAUCUCUUGGUUCUGGCAUCGAUGAAGAACGCAGCGAAAUGCGAUAAGUAAUGUGAAUUGCAGAAUUCAGUGAAUCAUCGAAUCUUUGAACGCACAUUGCGCCCGCCAGCAUUCUGGCGGGCAUGCCUGUUCGAGCGUCAUUUCAACCCUCAAGCUCUGCUUGGUGUUGGGGCCCUACAGCUGAUGUAGGCCCUCAAAGGUAGUGGCGGACCCUCCCGGAGCCUCCUUUGCGUAGUAACUUUACGUCUCGCACUGGGAUCCGGAGGGACUCUUGCCGUAAAACCCCCCAAUUUUCCAAAGGUUGACCUCGGAUCAGGUAGGAAUACCCGCUGAACUUAAGCAUAUCAAUAAGCGGAGGAAAAGAAACCAACAGGGAUUGCCUCAGUAACGGCGAGUGAAGCGGCAA
Molecule: ribosomal RNA, 560 nt
Filed under: fungal sp.
Lineage: Eukaryota; Fungi
Description: eukaryotic LSU rRNA
Rfam family: 5.8S ribosomal RNA (bases 141-294)
Source: RNAcentral